Long non-coding RNA from Bos indicus x Bos taurus (hybrid cattle), 1029 nucleotides. Lineage: Eukaryota; Metazoa; Chordata; Mammalia; Artiodactyla; Bovidae. The record is from Ensembl.
AUGAACUAUGGAAUGAGGUUUGUGACAUUGUACAGGAGACAGGGAUCAAGACCAUUCCCAUGGAAAAGAAAUGCAAAAAAAGCAAAAUGGCUGUCUGGGGAGGCCUUAUAUAUAGCUGUGAAAAGAAGAGAAGCGAAAAGCAAAGGAGAAAAGGAAAGAUAUAAACGUCUGAAUGCAGAGUUCCAAAGAAUAGCAAGAAGAGAUAAGAAAGCCUUCUUUAGCGAUCAAUGCAAAGAAAUAGAGGAAAACAACAGAAUGGGAAAGACUAGGGAUCUCUUCAAGAAAAUCAGAGAUACCAAAGGAACAUUUCGUGCAAAGAUGAGCUCAAUAAAGGACAGAAAUGGUAUGUACCUAACAGAAGCAGAAGAUAUUAAGAAGAGAUGGCAAGAAUACACAGAAGAACUGUACAAAAAAGAUCGUCAUGACCCAGAUAAUCACGAUGGUGUGAUCACUCACCUAGAGCCAGACAUCCUGGAAUGUGAAGUCAAGUGGGCCUUAGAAAGCAUCACUACGAACAAAGCUAGUGGAGGUGAUGGAAUUCCGGUGGAGCUAUUUCAAAUCCUGAGAGAUGAUGCUGUGAAAGUGCUGCACUCAAUAUGCCAGCAAAUGUGGAAAACUCAGCAGUGGCCACAGGACUGGAAAAGGUCAGUUUUCAUUCCAAUCCCAAAGAAAGGCAAUGCCAAAGAAUGCUCAAACUACCACACAAUUGUACUCAUCUCACACACUAGUAAAGUAAUGCUUAAAAUUCUCCAAGCCAGGCUUCAGCAAUAUGUGAACCGUGAACUUCCUGAUGUUGAAGCUGGUUUUAGAAAAGGCAGAGGAACCAGAGAUCAAAUUGUCAACAUCUGCUGGAUCAUGGAAAAAGCAAGAGAGUUCCAGAAAAGCAUCUAUUUCUGCUUUAUUGACUAUGCCAAAGCCUUUGACUGUGUGAUCACAGUAAACUGUGGAAAAUUCUUCAUAGAUGGGAAUACCAGACCACCUGACCUGCCUCUUGAGAAGUUUGUAUGCAGCUCAGGAAGCAACAGUUAG